AAUGAACGUUGGCGGCGUGGAUUAGGCAUGCAAGUCGUGCGAUAACCCCGCAAGGGGGGAAAGCGGCGAAAGGGAGAGUAACGCGUGGGUACCUGCCCCUUGGUCCGGAAUAGCUGCGGGAAACUGCAGGUAAUGCCGGAUAAUAUCCUCGGAUCAAAGGUGUGAUUCCGCCGAGGGAGGGGCCCGCGUUCUAUUAGCUAGUUGGUAGGGUAAUGGCCUACCAAGGCGACGAUGGAUACCGGGUGUGAGAGCAUGACCCGGCUCACUGGGACUGAGACACUGCCCAGACUCCUACGGGAGGCAGCAGUGGGGAAUAUUGGACAAUGGGCGCAAGCCUGAUCCAGCAAUGCCGCGUGAGUGAUGAAGGCCUUAGGGUUGUAAAGCUCUUUCGCACGCGACGAUGAUGACGGUAGCGUGAGAAGAAGCCCCGGCUAACUUCGUGCCAGCCGCCGCCGUAA
Molecule: ribosomal RNA, 458 nt
Filed under: uncultured bacterium
Lineage: Bacteria
Description: partial 16S ribosomal RNA
Rfam family: Bacterial small subunit ribosomal RNA
Source: RNAcentral